AAAUUUUAAACUUUUAAACUUUAUAUAAAAAUAAAGUUCAAUAUAAAUAUACUAAUGCAACCCGAAUCCAUCUAAUACCCUAAAUCUAAUACUCUAAACCCUAAGAUUCAAACUUAGAUGAUAUUCUAAAUACUAAAUAAAAUCUCUAAUAAUUUUUUUUUCUGAUUUUAAAGCCAAAAUUCAAACUUAAACUUUAAAUCUAAGUAUAUUUUAAAACUCAAAUUAUACAAACUCUAAAUCUACUAAAUCCCAAACGUAAAUUCUCAUUAUAUAUAUCAUACCCCAAAUCAACUAUACACUUAUAUAUAUCAUACCCUAAAUUAAUCACAUCCCC
This 334-nucleotide long non-coding RNA is filed under the name Brassica napus (rape). RNAcentral describes it as "long non-coding RNA (BNAP_LNC022717)". The record is from RNAcentral. Lineage: Eukaryota; Viridiplantae; Streptophyta; Magnoliopsida; Brassicales; Brassicaceae.